Molecule: ribosomal RNA, 515 nt
Filed under: uncultured bacterium
Lineage: Bacteria
Description: partial 16S ribosomal RNA
Rfam family: Bacterial small subunit ribosomal RNA
Source: RNAcentral
GAUGAACGCUGGCGGCGUGCCUAAUACAUGCAAGUCGAGCGAAUGGAUUAAGAGCUUGCUCUUAUGAAGUUAGCGGCGGACGGGUGAGUAACACGUGGGUGACCUGCCCAUAAGACUGGGAUAACUCCGGGAAACCGGGGCUAAUACCGGAUAACAUUUUGAACCGCAUGGUUCGAAAUUGAAAGGCGGCUUCGGCUGUCACUUAUGGAUGGACCCGCGUCGCAUUAGCUAGUUGGUGAGGUAACGGCUCACCAAGGCAACGAUGCGUAGCCGACCUGAGAGGGUGGUCGGCCACACUGGGACUGAGACACGGCCCAGACUCCUACGGGAGGCAGCAGUAGGGAAUCUUCCGCAAUGGACGAAAGUCUGACGGAGCAACGCCGCGUGAGUGAUGAAGGCUUUCGGGUCGUAAAACUCUGUUGUUAGGGAAGAACAAGUGCUAGUUGAAUAAGCUGACACCUUGACGGUACCUAACCAGAAAGCCACGGCUAACUACGUGCCAGCCGCCGCAGUAA